RNAcentral lists this long non-coding RNA (1298 nucleotides) under Homo sapiens (human). Its description in RNAcentral is "HSALNT0339877". Lineage: Eukaryota; Metazoa; Chordata; Mammalia; Primates; Hominidae. The record is from RNAcentral.
GGUUUUCGUAUUUUUUUGGUGGAGACGGGGUUUCGCUGUGUUGGCCGGGCUGGUCUCCAGCUCCUAGCCGCGAGUGAUCCGCCAGCCUCGGCCUCCCGGGGUGCCGGGAUUGCAGACGGAGUCUGGUUCACUCAAUGCUCAAUGGUGCCCAGGCUGGAGUGCAGUGGCGUGAUCUCGGCUCGCUACAACCUCCACCUCCCAGCCGCCUGCCUUGGCCUCCCAAAGUGCCGAGAUUGCAGCCUCUGCCCGGCCGCCACCCCGUCUGGGAAGGGAGGAGCGUCUCUGCCUGGCCGCCCAUCACCUGGGACGUGAGGAGCCCCUCUGCCUGGCUGCCCAGUCUGGAAAGUGAGGAGCGUCUCUGCCCGGCCGCCAUCCCAUCUAGGAAGUGACGAGCGCCUCUUCCCGGUCGCCAUCCCAUCUAGGAAGUGAGGAGCGUCUCUGCCCGGCCGCCCAUCGUCUGAGAUGUGGGGAGAGCCUCUGCCCCGCCGCCCCGCCUGGGAUGUGAGGAGCGCCUCUACCCGGCCGCGACCCCGUCUGGGAGGUGAGGAGCGUCUCUGCCCGGCCGCCCCGUCUGAGAAGUGAGGAGACCCUCCGCCUGGCAACCGCCCAUCUGAGAAGUGAGGAGCCCCUCCGCCCGGCAGUCACCCCGUCUGGGAAGUGAGGAGCGUCUCCGCCCAGCAGCCACCCCGUCCGGGAGGGAGGUGGGGGUCAGCCCCCGCCAGACCAGCCGCCCCGUCCAGGAGGGAGGUGGGGGGGUCAGCCCCCCGCCCGGCCAGCCGCCCCAUCCGGGAGGGAGGUGGGGGGGUCAGCCCCCUGCCCGGCCAGCCGCCCCAUCCGGGAGGUGAGGGGCGCCUCUGCCCAGCCGCCCCUACUGGGAAGUGAGGAGCCCCUCUGCCCGGCCACCACCCCGUCUGGGAGGUGUACCCAACAGCUCAUUGAGAACGGGCCAUGAUGACAAUGGCGGUUUUGUGGAAUAGAAAGGGGGAAAGGUGGGGAAAAGAUUGAGGAAUCGGAUGGUUGCUGUGUCUGUGUAGAAAGAGGUAGACAUGGGAGACUUUUCAUUUUGUUCUGUACUAAGAAAAAUUCUUAUCCUGUUGAUCUGUGACCUUACCCCCAACCCUGUGCUCUCUGAAUCAUGUGCUGUGUCCACUCAGGGUUAAAUGGAUUAAGGGCGGUGCAAGAUGUGCUUUGUUAAACAGAUGCUUGAAGGCAGCAUGCUCAUUAAGAGUCAUCACCACUCCCUAAUCUCAAGUACCCAGGGACACAAACACGGCGGAAGGCCGCAGGGUCCUCUGCCU